GAUGAACGCUGGCGGCGUGCCUAAUACAUGCAAGUCGAGCGAACAGACGAGGAGCUUGCUCCUCUGACGUUAGCGGCGGACGGGUGAGUAACACGUGGAUAACCUACCUAUAAGACUGGGAUAACUUCGGGAAACCGGAGCUAAUACCGGAUAAUAUAUUGAACCGCAUGGUUCAAUAGUGAAAGACGGUUUUGCUGUCACUUAUAGAUGGAUCCGCGCCGCAUUAGCUAGUUGGUAAGGUAACGGCUUACCAAGGCAACGAUGCGUAGCCGACCUGAGAGGGUGAUUGGCCACACUGGAACUGAGACACGGUCCAGACUCCUACGGGAGGAAGCAGUAGGGAAUCUUCCGCAAUGGGCGAAAGACUGACGGAGCAACGCCGCGUGAGUGAUGAAGGUCUUCGGAUCGUAAAACUCUGUUAUUAGGGAAGAACAAAUGUGUAAGUAACUAUGAACGUCUUGACGGUACCGAAUCAGAAAGCCACGGCUAACUACGUG
This 497-nucleotide ribosomal RNA is filed under the name uncultured bacterium. Its description in RNAcentral is "partial 16S ribosomal RNA". It matches the Rfam family "Bacterial small subunit ribosomal RNA", at positions 28 to 507 of the family's 1533-position model. The record is from RNAcentral.